This 786-nucleotide ribosomal RNA is filed under the name Enterococcus faecalis. Its description in RNAcentral is "bacterial SSU rRNA". It matches the Rfam family "Bacterial small subunit ribosomal RNA", at positions 37 to 784 of the family's 1533-position model. The record is from RNAcentral. Lineage: Bacteria; Bacillati; Bacillota; Bacilli; Lactobacillales; Enterococcaceae.
UGGCGGCGUGCCUAAUACAUGCAAGUCGAACGCUUCUUUCCUCCCGAGUGCUUGCACUCAAUUGGAAAGAGGAGUGGCGGACGGGUGAGUAACACGUGGGUAACCUACCCAUCAGAGGGGGAUAACACUUGGAAACAGGUGCUAAUACCGCAUAACAGUUUAUGCCGCAUGGCAUAAGAGUGAAAGGCGCUUUCGGGUGUCGCUGAUGGAUGGACCCGCGGUGCAUUAGCUAGUUGGUGAGGUAACGGCUCACCAAGGCCACGAUGCAUAGCCGACCUGAGAGGGUGAUCGGCCACACUGGGACUGAGACACGGCCCAGACUCCUACGGGAGGCAGCAGUAGGGAAUCUUCGGCAAUGGACGAAAGUCUGACCGAGCAACGCCGCGUGAGUGAAGAAGGUUUUCGGAUCGUAAAACUCUGUUGUUAGAGAAGAACAAGGACGUUAGUAACUGAACGUCCCCUGACGGUAUCUAACCAGAAAGCCACGGCUAACUACGUGCCAGCAGCCCGCGAGUAAUACGUAGGUGGCAAGCGUUGUCCGGAUUUAUUGGGCGUAAAGCGAGCGCAGGCGGUUAUAUCUUAAGUCUGAUGUGAAAGCCCCCGGCUCAACCGGGGAGGGUCAUUGGAAACUGGGAGACUUGAGUGCAGAAGAGGAGAGUGGAAUUCCAUGUGUAGCGGUGAAAUGCGUAGAUAUAUACUGGAGGAACACCAGUGGCGAAGGCGGCUCUCUGGUCUGUAACUGACGCUGAGGCUCGAAAGCGUGUGGGGAGCAAACAGGAUUAGAUA